GUAGCCCGAUGGUUGUGUCGCUCACCGACGUAUGAGCGGUGUGAGGAAAGUCCGGGCAACGUAGAGCGCCAUAUUUUCUAACGGGAAGCUGUCGGCGACGGCAGAGUAGCGUGACAGAAAACAACCGCCCGCCACCCUAUCGGGGGCAGGCAAGGGUGAAAAGGUGAGGUAAGAGCUCACCGGGCUUUGCAGCGAUGCAGAGUGCCGCACGCCUUAUGGGUUGCAAGGCCAAGUAUACCGGCAUUUAAGGAUUGCUCGUCCGCUGCCGGGGGGUAGGCUGCUUAAGUGCACACUGUGCACUCAGAUAAAUGACACGACCGCCGGUUCAACCCUCCUCCUGCGGGAUGGAAGUGAACCGACGACAAAACCCGGCUUAUAGUCGGACUACCGUU
RNAcentral lists this RNase P RNA (392 nucleotides) under Bacteroides sp. RNAcentral's name for it is "RNase P RNA component class A". It matches the Rfam family "Bacterial RNase P class A". Rfam says of the family: Ribonuclease P (RNase P) is a ubiquitous endoribonuclease, found in archaea, bacteria and eukarya as well as chloroplasts and mitochondria. The record is from RNAcentral. RNAcentral also lists the same sequence under 2 other names. Lineage: Bacteria; Pseudomonadati; Bacteroidota; Bacteroidia; Bacteroidales; Bacteroidaceae.